RNAcentral lists this ribosomal RNA (498 nucleotides) under uncultured bacterium. Its description in RNAcentral is "partial 16S ribosomal RNA". It matches the Rfam family "Bacterial small subunit ribosomal RNA", at positions 28 to 507 of the family's 1533-position model. The record is from RNAcentral.
GACGAACGCUGGCGGCGUGCCUAAUACAUGCAAGUCGAACGAGAGCGACCGGUGCUUGCACUGGUCACUCUAGUGGCGAACGGGUGAGUAACACGUGGGUAACCUGCCCAUCAGAGGGGGAUAACAUCCGGAAACGGAUGCUAAAACCGCAUAGGUCUUCGAGCCGCAUGGCUUGAAGAGGAAAAGAGGCGCAAGCUUCUGCUGAUGGAUGGACCCGCGGUGCAUUAGCUAGUUGGUGAGGUAACGGCUCACCAAGGCCGUGAUGCAUAGCCGACCUGAGAGGGUGAUCGGCCACAUUGGGACUGAGACACGGCCCAAACUCCUACGGGAGGCAGCAGUAGGGAAUCUUCCGCAAUGGACGCAAGUCUGACGGAGCAACGCCGCGUGAGUGAAGAAGGUUUUCGGAUCGUAAAACUCUGUUGUUAGAGAAGAACAAGUGCUAGAGUAACUGUUAGCGCCUUGACGGUAUCUAACCAGAAAGCCACGGCUAACUACGUG